This is a small nucleolar RNA of Pelobates fuscus (common spadefoot toad), 117 nucleotides long. RefSeq annotates it as small nucleolar RNA SNORA69. Lineage: Eukaryota; Metazoa; Chordata; Amphibia; Anura; Pelobatidae. The record is from RefSeq and is a predicted model, not a curated record. The transcript has a single exon.
UGUUCAGUGUAUAUAUAUAUAUAUAUAUAUAUAUAUAUACUGAACAAAAUUAUAAACGCAACACUUUUGUUUUUGCCCCCAUUUGGGGGCAAAAACAAAAGUGUUGCGUUUAUAAUU